UGGGGAAUAUUGGGCAAUUGGCGCAAGCCUUACCCAGCAACGCCGCGUUAAGGAAUAAGGCUUUCGGGUUUUAAACUUCUUUUGUCAGGGACGAAACAAAUGACGGUACCUGUCGCUUAAGCCACGUCUAACUACGUGCCAGCAUCCGCGGUAAUACGUAGGUGGCUAGCGUUAUCCGGUUUUUUUGGGUGUAAAGGGCGUGUAGGCGGGACUGAAAGUCAGAUGUGAAAAUUUUGG
This 237-nucleotide ribosomal RNA is filed under the name uncultured bacterium. RNAcentral's name for it is "partial 16S ribosomal RNA". It matches the Rfam family "Bacterial small subunit ribosomal RNA", at positions 355 to 606 of the family's 1533-position model. The record is from RNAcentral.